RNAcentral lists this ribosomal RNA (428 nucleotides) under uncultured Desulfobulbus sp. Its description in RNAcentral is "bacterial SSU rRNA". It matches the Rfam family "Bacterial small subunit ribosomal RNA", at positions 355 to 774 of the family's 1533-position model. Lineage: Bacteria; Pseudomonadati; Thermodesulfobacteriota; Desulfobulbia; Desulfobulbales; Desulfobulbaceae. The record is from RNAcentral.
UGAGGAAUAUUGCGCAAUGGGGGCAACCCUGACGCAGCGACGCCGCGUGAGUGAGGAAGGUCUUCGGAUCGUAAAGCUCUGUCAAGAGGGAAGAAGUGCAAGGCAGCGAAUAACUGUUUUGUUUGACGGUACCUCUAAAGGAAGCACCGGCUAACUCCGUGCCAGCAGCCGCGGUAAUACGGAGGGUGCGAGCGUUGUUCGGAAUCACUGGGCGUAAAGGGCGCGCAGGCGGGCUGUCAAGUCAGAUGUGAAAUCCCACGGCUUAACUGUGGACGUGCAUUUGAAACUGGCAGUCUUGAGUACCAGAGGGGAAUGUGGAAUUCCCGGUGUAGAGGUGAAAUUCGUAGAUAUCGGGAGGAAUACCGGUGGCGAAGGCGACAUUCUGGCUGGAUACUGACGCUGAGGCGCGAAAGCGUGGGGAGCAAACA